CAGCAGCCGCGGUAAUACGAAGGGGGCUAGCGUUGCUCGGAAUCACUGGGCGUAAAGGGUGCGUAGGCGGGUCUUUAAGUCAGGGGUGAAAUCCUGGAGCUCAACUCCAGAACUGCCUUUGAUACUGAAGAUCUUGAGUUCGGGAGAGGUGAGUGGAACUGCGAGUGUAGAGGUGAAAUUCGUAGAUAUUCGCAAGAACACCAAUGGCGAAGGCAGCUUCUUGGUCCAUUCCUGACGUUCAUACACGAAAGCGUGGGGAGCAAACAGGAUUAGAUACCCGUGUAGUCCCUGUCUCUUAUAC
Molecule: ribosomal RNA, 301 nt
Filed under: uncultured bacterium
Lineage: Bacteria
Description: partial 16S ribosomal RNA
Rfam family: Bacterial small subunit ribosomal RNA
Source: RNAcentral